This 1852-nucleotide ribosomal RNA is filed under the name Hartmannella sp. HCLCCOF-001. RNAcentral's name for it is "SSU rRNA". It matches the Rfam family "Eukaryotic small subunit ribosomal RNA". The record is from RNAcentral. Lineage: Eukaryota; Tubulinea; Elardia; Euamoebida; Hartmannellidae.
CGACUGGUUGAUCCUGCCAGUAGUCAUAUGCUUGUCUCAGAGAUUAAGCCAUGCAUGUCUAAGUAUAAGCGAUCUUAUACAGCGAAACUGCGAAUGGCUCAUUAAAUCAGUUAUAGUCUACUUGAUCGUAUCUUCUUACAUGGAUAACCGUAGUAAAUCUAGAGCUAAUACAUGCUAAAAAUCCUGGACGCGGCAACGCGGAAGGGACGAGUUUAUUAGAUUAAAAACCGACACCUCUCCGCGAGGGGAGGUAGCACAGGUGAUUCACAGUAACCGAUCGGAUCGGACGGCCCCGCCGACGACGAUGCAUACGAGUUUCUGCCCUAUCAACUUUAGAUGGUAGAGUAUCGGUCUACCAUGGUCGUAACGGGUGACGGGGGAUUAGGGUUCGAUUCCGGAGAGGGAGCCUGAGAAACGGCUACCCAAUUGGACGUAGCAGGCGCGCAAAUUACCCAAUCCCGACACGGGGAGGUAGUGACAAGAAAUACCAUUGUAAUGUCUCCUCGAGAGGCUUACGAUUGGAAUGAGUACAAUUUAAAUCCCUUAACGAGUAACGAUUGGAGGGCAAGUCUGGUGCCAGCAGCCGCGGUAAUUCCAGCUCCAAUAGCGUAUAUUAAAGUUGUUGCAGUUAAAAAGCUCGUAGUUGGAUUUCGGAAGGUCCUUAGCAGUCCGCCCCUUCGGGGAGCGGGCUGCUGGCCUCCUAUGUUCCUAACGGUCCUCAUCCCCGAGGGUGGGGAAUCAACCGCUAGGAUCGUUUACUUUGAGGAAAUUAGAGUGUUCAAAGCAGGCGUAACUCGCCUCCGAAUACGUUAGCAUGGGAUAAUGGAAUACGACUUCGGUCUUGUCCUUGAGGCCAGCUUGGCUGAAGUAAUGAUUGAUAGGGACAGUUGGGGGCAUUAGUAUUUAGUUGUCAGAGGUGAAAUUCUAGGAUUUACUAAAGACUGACCAAUGCGAAAGCAUUUGCCAAGGAUGUUUUCAUUAAUCAAGAACGAAAGUAGGGGGAUCGAAGACGAUCAGAUACCGUCGUAGUCUCUACCGUAAACUAUGCCGACCAGGGAUCCGGAGAGUUUGCAUGGAUGACUCCCCGGGCACCUUGUGAGAAAUCAUAAGUGUUUGGGUUUUGGGGGGAGUAUGGUCGCAAGGCUGAAACUUAAAGGAAUUGACGGAAGGGCACCACCAGGAGUGGAACUGCGGCUUAAUUUGACUCAACACGGGGAAACUUACGAGUUUGUGUGUCAGGACACUGUGAGGAUUGACAGAUUGAAAGCUCUUUCUUGAUUCAGUGGGUGGUGGUGCAUGGCCGUUCUUAGUUGGUGGAGUGAUUUGUCUGGUUAAUUCCGUUAACGAACGAGACCUCUCUGAUAACCUGCUAAAUAGUCACGCGAACCGGUCCGCAAGGGCUCAAAGUUCGCGGCUCGACUUCUUAGAGGGACUAUUCGCACCCGCCAGCGAAUGGAAGUUUGAGGCAAUAACAGGUCUGUGAUGCCCUUAGAUGUUCUCGGCCGCACGCGCGUUACACUGACGGAGUCAACGAGCGUUUUUCCUUGCCCGAUAGGGCUGGGUAACCUCCUGAAACUCCGUCGUGAUGGGGAUAGAUCAUUGCAAUUAUUGAUCUUGAACGAGGAAUUCCUAGUAAGCGCGAGUCAUCAACUCGCGCUGAUUACGUCCCUGCCCUUUGUACACACCGCCCGUCGCUCCUACCGAUUGAACGGUCCGGCGAGAGAGAACUCCGGAUGGUCGGUAGGAAGGGGUCAAACCCUGUGUCCGUGCCAGAAGCUGUUCGAACCUUACCGUUUAGAGGAAGGAGAAGUCGUAACAAGGUAUCCGUAGUGAACCUGCAGAAGGAUCAGGA